CACCGCGGUUAUACGAGUGGGCCCCAGUUGAUACACACGGCGUAAAGAGUGGUUAAGGAUUAUGCCAAACUAAAGCCGAAGACCCCCUAAGCCGUCAUACGCACCUAGGGGUACGAAGCCCUAUCACGAAAGUAGCUUUAUUCAAGCCCACCUGACCCCACGACAGCUGAGAUA
RNAcentral lists this ribosomal RNA (174 nucleotides) under Holtbyrnia latifrons (streaklight tubeshoulder). Its description in RNAcentral is "partial small subunit ribosomal RNA". The record is from RNAcentral. Lineage: Eukaryota; Metazoa; Chordata; Actinopteri; Alepocephaliformes; Platytroctidae.